GACGAACGCUGGCGGCGUGCUUAACACAUGCAAGUCGAACGGAAAGGCCCUGCUUUUGUGGGGUGCUCGAGUGGCGAACGGGUGUGUAACACGUGAGUAACCUGCCCUUGACUUUGGGAUAACUUCAGGAAACUGGGGCUAAUACCGGAUAGGAUCUCCUGCUGCAUGGUGGGGGUUGGACAGUUUCGGCGGUUGGGGAUGGACUCGCGGCUUAUCAGCUUGUUGGUGGGGUAGUGGCUUACCAAGGCUUUGACGGGUAGCCGGCAUGAGAGGGUGACCGGCCACAUUGGGACUGAGAUACGGCCCAGACUCCAACGGGAGGCAGCAGUGGGGAAUAGUGCACAAUGGGAGGAAGCCUGAUGCAGCAACGCCGCGUGCGGGAUGACGGCAAUCGGGUUGUAAACCGCUUUCGCCUGUGACGAAGCGUGAGUGACGGUAAUGGGUAAAGAAGCACCGGCUAACUACGUG
RNAcentral lists this ribosomal RNA (468 nucleotides) under uncultured bacterium. Its description in RNAcentral is "partial 16S ribosomal RNA". It matches the Rfam family "Bacterial small subunit ribosomal RNA", at positions 28 to 507 of the family's 1533-position model. The record is from RNAcentral.